Molecule: ribosomal RNA, 370 nt
Filed under: uncultured Desulfobulbus sp.
Lineage: Bacteria; Pseudomonadati; Thermodesulfobacteriota; Desulfobulbia; Desulfobulbales; Desulfobulbaceae
Description: bacterial SSU rRNA
Rfam family: Bacterial small subunit ribosomal RNA
Source: RNAcentral
CUUCCAUCUGGAAGAAUCUGGAGACAGGUGCUGCAUGGCUGUCGUCAGCUCGUGUCGUGAGAUGUUGGGUUAAGUCCCGCAACGAGCGCAACCCUGCCUUUAGUUGCCAGCAGUUCGGCUGGGCACUCUAAAGGGACUGCCGGUGUUAAACCGGAGGAAGGUGGGGAUGACGUCAAGUCCUCAUGGCCUUUAUGACCAGGGCUACACACGUACUACAAUGGCCGAUACAAAGGGCAGCGACACUGCGAGGUGAAGCCAAUCCCGUAAAAUCGGUCUCAGUCCGGAUUGGAGUCUGCAACUCGACUCCAUGAAGUUGGAAUCGCUAGUAAUCGUGGAUCAGCAUGCCACGGUGAAUACGUUCCCGGGCCUU